This 440-nucleotide ribosomal RNA is filed under the name uncultured bacterium. RNAcentral's name for it is "partial 16S ribosomal RNA". It matches the Rfam family "Bacterial small subunit ribosomal RNA", at positions 338 to 795 of the family's 1533-position model. The record is from RNAcentral.
CCUACGGGUGGCAGCAGUGGGGAAUAUUGCACAAUGGGGGGAACCCUGAUGCAGCGACGCCGCGUGGGUGAGGAAGUACUUCGGUAUGUAAAGCCCUAUCAGCAGGGAAGAAAAUGACGGUACCUGACUAAGAAGCCCCGGCUAACUACGUGCCAGAUGCCGCGGUAAUACGGAGGGGGCAAGCGUUAUCCGGAUUUAUUGGGUUUUAAGGGAGCGUAGGCCGCAUGUCAGGCGUGCUGUGAAAGGUCCGGGCUCAACCCGGGCCUUGCAGCGCGAACUGGCGUGCUUGAGUCCGCGGAAAGCAGGCGGAAUUCGUCGUGUAGCGGUGAAAUGCUUAGAUAUGACGAAGAACCCCGAUUGCGAAGGCAGCUUGCUGCAGCGGAACUGACGCUGAUGCUCGAAAGCGCGGGUAUCGAACAGGAUUAGAUACCCGUGUAGUC